CAGUCAUGACGUUUUGACGACUGCUGCGACAACUUCCCUUGAAACGGGGGGCUAAUACCGGAUGGUUGUUUGAACCGCAUGGUUCAAACAUAAAAGGUGGCUUCGGCUACCACUUACAGAUGGACCCGCGGCGCAUUAGCUAGUUGGUGAGGUAAUGGCUCACCAAGGCAACGAUGCGUAGCCGACCUGAGAGGGUGAUCGGCCACACUGGGACUGAGACACGGCCCAGACUCCUACGGGAGGCAGCAGUAGGGAAUCUUCCGCAAUGGACGAAAGUCUGACGGAGCAACGCCGCGUGAGUGAUGAAGGUUUUCGGAUCGUAAAGCUCUGUUGUUAGGGAAGAACAAGUACCGUUCGAAUAGGGCGGUACCUUGACGGUACCUAACCAGAAAGCCACGGCUAACUACGUGCCAGCAGCCGCGGUAAUACGUAGGUGGCAAGCGUUGUCCGGAAUUAUUGGGCGUAAAGGGCUCGCAGGCGGUUUCUUAAGUCUGAUGUGAAAGCCCCCGGCUCAACCGGGGAGGGUUGUUGGAAACUGGGGAACUUGAGUGCAGAAGAGGAGAGUGGAAUUCCACGUGUAGCGGUGAAAUGCGUAGAGAUGUGGAGGAACACCAGUGGCGAAGGCGACUCUCUGGUCUGUAACUGACGCUGAGGAGCGAAAGCGUGGGGAGCGAACAGGAUUAGAUACCCUGGUAGUCCACGCCGUAAACGAUGAGUGCUAAGUGUGAGGGGGUUUCCGCCCCUUAGUGCUGCAGCUAACGCAUUAAGCACUCUGCCUGGGGGAGUAUGGUCGCAAGACUGAAACUCAAAGUGAAUUGACGGGGGCCCGCAUAAUCGGUGGAGCAUGUGGUUUAAUUCGAAGCAACGCGAAUGACCUUACCAGGUCUUGACAUCCUCUGACAAAUCUAAGAUAGGACUUCUACGUCGGGGGCAGAGUGACAAGUGGUGCAUGGUUGUCGUCACUCCUGUCUGAAAGUUGG
Molecule: ribosomal RNA, 980 nt
Filed under: Bacillus subtilis
Lineage: Bacteria; Bacillati; Bacillota; Bacilli; Caryophanales; Bacillaceae
Description: bacterial SSU rRNA
Rfam family: Bacterial small subunit ribosomal RNA
Source: RNAcentral